This 491-nucleotide ribosomal RNA is filed under the name uncultured bacterium. RNAcentral's name for it is "partial 16S ribosomal RNA". It matches the Rfam family "Bacterial small subunit ribosomal RNA", at positions 29 to 507 of the family's 1533-position model. The record is from RNAcentral.
GUGAACGCUGGCGGUAGGCCUAACACAUGCAAGUCGCACGGCAGCACAGUAAGAGCUUGCUCUUACGGGUGGCGAGUGGCGGACGGGUGAGGAAUACAUCGGAAUCUACUUUUUCGUGGGGGAUAACGUAGUGAAACUUACGCUAAUACCGCAUACGACCUACGGGUGAAAGCAGGGGAUCUUCGGACCUUGCGCGAUUGAAUGAGCCGAUGUCGGAUUAGCUAGUUGGCGGGGUAAAGGCCCACCAAGGCGACGAUCCGUAGCUGGUCUGAGAGGAUGAUCAGCCACACUGGAACUGAGACACGGUCCAGACUCCUACGGGAGGCAGCAGUGGGGAAUAUUGGACAAUGGGCGCAAGCCUGAUCCAGCCAUACCGCGUGGGUGAAGAAGGCCUUCGGGUUGUAAAGCCCUUUUGUUGGGAAAGAAAAGCAGCAGGUUAAUACCCCGCUGUUCUGACGGUACCCAAAGAAUAAGCACCGGCUAACUUCGUG